Molecule: non-coding RNA, 21 nt
Filed under: Caenorhabditis elegans
Lineage: Eukaryota; Metazoa; Nematoda; Chromadorea; Rhabditida; Rhabditidae
Source: RNAcentral
UAAUUGGUCGAGAUAAACUUU